AGAGUUCAAGAGUACGUGAAACCGUUUAGGGGUAAACCUGAGAAACCCGAAAAGUCGAAGGGAGAAAUUCACCGCGGUUCGACGAAGGUGACGUAUCGACGCGUGACUGCGCUCUUCGGACGCGCGGCGCCGUCGGUACGUUUUUUUUAUCGACGACGAACGCGUGCACUUUUCUCCCGGUAGGACGUCGCGAUCCGUUGGGCGUCGGUCUACGGCUGACGGUGGAGACCGCGAGUCGUUCUUCGGAACGUACGCGCGGACCCGUUUGCACCCCGACCGACUCGCUCGACGGUAUACGAACGGUUUGGGGCCGCUUUUAAAGCGUCCGACUCGCGGCUUUCGAGCCGCGACGCUCUUGGACAGACCCUAUUCGAAAACCGAUCUGCGACGCUAUAGCUUUGGGUACUUUCAGGGCCCGUCUUGAAACACGGACCAAGGAGUCUAGCAUAUACGCGAGUCAUUGGGAAUCGCUAAACCUAAAGGCGUAAUGAAAGUAAAACUUUUCCUCGUGAGAAGUUAGGGAAGACGGGCGGCUUCGUCGCCGUCCCGCACUCCCGGGGUGUCUCGUUCUCAUUGCGAGAUGAGGCGCACCAAGAGCGUAUACGCUGGGACCCGAAAGAUGGUGAACUAUGCCUGGUCAGGACGAAGUCAGGGGAAACCCUGAUGGAGGUCCGUAGCGAUUCUGACGUGCAAAUCGAUCGUCGGAACUGGGUAUAGNNNNNNNNNNNNNNNNNNNNNNNNNNNNNNNNNNNNNNNNGGGCGAAAGACUAAUCGAACCAUCUAGUAGCUGGUUCCCUCCGAAGUUUCCCUCAGGAUAGCUGGCGCUCGUUGCAUACGAGUGUCAUCCGGUAAAGCGAAUGAUUAGAGGCAUUGGGGUCGAAACGACCUCAACCUAUUCUCAAACUUUAAAUGGGUGAGAUCUCCGGCUUGCUCGAACAAGUGAAGCCGCGAGACUUAAACGGAUCAGAGUGCCAAGUGGGCCAUUUUUGGUAAGCAGAACUGGCG
Molecule: ribosomal RNA, 1005 nt
Filed under: Scolytus ventralis
Lineage: Eukaryota; Metazoa; Arthropoda; Insecta; Coleoptera; Curculionidae
Description: partial large subunit ribosomal RNA
Rfam family: Eukaryotic large subunit ribosomal RNA
Source: RNAcentral